AUCCUACGCGACGCAGCAGUGGGGAAUAUUGGACAAUGGGGGGAACCCUGAUCCAGCGACGCCGCGUGAGUGAAGAAGUAUUUCGGUAUGUAAAGCUCUAUCAGCAGGGAAGAAAGAAAUGACGGUACCUGACUAAGAAGCCCCGGCUAACUACGUGCCAGCAGCCGCGGUAAUACGUAGGUGGCAAGCGUUAUCCGGAUUUAUUGGGUGUAAAGGGCGUGUAGGCGGGAGCGCAAGUCAGAUGUGAAAAAUCAGGGCUCAACCCUGAGCCUGCAUUUGAAA
RNAcentral lists this ribosomal RNA (282 nucleotides) under uncultured bacterium. RNAcentral describes it as "partial 16S ribosomal RNA". It matches the Rfam family "Bacterial small subunit ribosomal RNA", at positions 335 to 632 of the family's 1533-position model. The record is from RNAcentral.